CGUAGGCAGGGCGCAGCCUGAUCCGCCUGCCGCGUGUGUGAAGAAGGCCUUAUGGUUGUAAAGCACUUUAAGCGAGGAGGAGGCUACUUUAGUUAAUACCUAGAGAUAGUGGACGUUACUCGCAGAAUAAGCACCGGCUAACUCUGUGCCAGCAGCCGCGGUAAUAC
Molecule: ribosomal RNA, 167 nt
Filed under: uncultured Acinetobacter sp.
Lineage: Bacteria; Pseudomonadati; Pseudomonadota; Gammaproteobacteria; Moraxellales; Moraxellaceae
Description: partial 16S ribosomal RNA
Rfam family: Bacterial small subunit ribosomal RNA
Source: RNAcentral